Long non-coding RNA from Macaca mulatta (Rhesus monkey), 4676 nucleotides. NCBI's taxonomy places the organism in Eukaryota, Metazoa, Chordata, Mammalia, Primates, Cercopithecidae. The record is from Ensembl.
UGUAAAAUUGUGCAAUAGCCUAGCCAGCUAGCCUUAACAUCUAAGAAGUUUUUCCAACAAGCAAAAACCUUUAGAAAUGAAAGAAUGUGGGCAUUUAAGAUAACCUUACCCUGGGGCAUAGCACUCUCCUCCAAGUCACAGGGAGCUUCUGACCACAAAAAGAGAGGGACAGAAGCCAAUCUUAAGAGGCAAAGACUCCUGACCAUGAAGAAAGAACGUUAUCCUGAGGAGAUUCCCAAAGUUAAACUAGCUCUACAUGAGGAUGCAAUAAAGAACAUUCAUAACUUCAAGGCACCAAGAACAGUGGGAAAUUAAACCAGUGUGUUUGUAGUAUAUGUGCUUCCACCAAUUCUACCUAUUGCAAAUUAGGAGUAAACAAAGGAUAUAUGAAUUACAUUUUGAGUCUAUAGCCUUUAUUUUCGUUACAGCACUCCUGAUAUGUUAUUUUGCUUUUCUUACAUGUAUUUCAAACAUAACAGAAGGCUGAAUUAAAAUUGGCAUUUCCCUUCCCUCAAAUUUCUCCUCUUCUAAUAUUCUCCAUCUCAGCAAAAGGCACUAUUUUCACAGUUGUCUAAGCCAGAAACUGGGCACUCAGCCCUCACUUCCCUCUCUCUCAUUCUCCAUACCUAACAAAUACGAAGUUUUUACCUUGGCAUUCCAAAUACAGCAGAGAACCAUUUGCCCUCCUUCCCAUUGCCAUUUCUUUAUCCAAAUCUCUAUCAAGCAAAAGUGGAAGUUUAUUACAUAAAUUGAUCAUAUCACUUCCACCUUCUAAUUCAAAAAAUUAUUCCAUGACUUUCCACCAACUUUAGGAUGAAGUCCAAAAUCUUCACGAUGUUCAUCAGUGUCGCCACAAUGGAAACCCUGCUUAUCUAUGCAGCCUCAUAAUAUGCUACUGUCAUUUUCUGUUCUGAAAUUUCAACUAUAUAGAUCUCAUUUUGAUCAUCCUUAGAGCAUAAAGCUAUGUCUUAUAUCAGGAUCACUGAACGUGCUAUGCUCGCCCUGAAAAAUUCUUUAACUCACCUUUUAAUAAAGUACACCUAAAUGUCACUUCCUCAGUUAUAUCCUCCCUGGACCCUAAAUUUCUAUAGGCCCCUGUAUUCUUCUGUCAUAUAUUAUUCACAGUACACUACACCUUGCUUUAUGUAACAUCCAUAAUUAUGUCAAUUGCAUGUUAUAUUAUGUUUUUAAGACUACUGUAACAAAGUGCCACAAACUGGGUGGUUAACAACAAGAGAAAUCUAUAUCCCCCACAGUUCUGGGGUAUAUAAGUCGAAAUCAAGGUGUUAGCAGGACCAUGUUCUCUCUGCAGUUUCUAGGGGAUUUUUUUCUUGUGUUUCUUCCUAGAUUCUGGGAACUAACUGCUGGCAAUCCUUGGUAUUCUUCAUUUUGUAAACACAUCAUUGCAGUCUCUGCCUGCUUGCCACAUGAGGUUCUCCUUUGUGUCUCCAUGUAAAGAUGUCCCUUCAGUUAUAAGCACACCAGUCAUUGGAUUAGGCCCAUCCUAAUCCAUUAUGACCUCAUCUUAAUUUCAUUACAUCUGAAAAGACACCAUUUCCAAAUUUGGGGUCUCACAAUUACUGGGGGUUAGGAUUUCAGCAUUUUUUGGGGGGGGAGGACAAUUUAACCCAUAACCUGGUUAAUGCUUAUCUUCCCUUCUAGACUGUAUAACUGGUAAUUAGGAUGAUCACAUCAUUUGUCAUGAAAACCAGAACGUUUUUGAGACUGAAAGAGACAAUAUAAUAAUGACUCCAAAACAACAGCUGUAAACCAGAAUGUCCAAACAGAGCUAUCCACACUGCAUUCAAAGUGAAGAAACCAGAUACUAUUGUUCACUGCUCAAUUCUGAGAACUUGGAACACAAUAGAUGCUCAAUAAACAUCUGUUAAAUAAAUGAAUAAAAUUUACCAGUAAAUGAGGAAAUGAUGUUUUCAUUUAUUAAACUGAAUGCUCUCAGAAGAGAGCUGAUCUGCAGUUGAUGCUUAGAAUUGAAUACCAGUUGGCCAAGACAAGAAGGAGAUCACUGGUUGCAAGCUGUGGAAAGGAGAAGGUCAAAAACACAGAAGCAUGAAGGCACUUGGUGUUAUUAAUAAUUUCGAAGUAAGCACAAUGGGUCUGAGUAUAAGUCAUAACAAACAGAUUGUAAGUGAUAUAACAGCUUUACAAACAAAUCAGAAUUAUAACCAAAUUGUAUCAGACCAUGCAUAUUAGGCAGGAUUCUCCAGAGAAAUAGAAGCAAAUGGGAUAUAUAGAAAGAGUGAAAAAGAAAGCCAGGCUGGGAAUUCAGGCAAGAGUUGCUAUGGGAGUAUUGAGUCUGAAAUCCCCAGGCGAGGCCAGCAUGCAGGAAACUCAGAAAGAGUUCUGGGUUAUAGUCUUGAGGCACAAUUUUUUCUUUUCCAGGAAACCUCAGUCUUUGCUCUUAAGGCCUUCAACAAAUUAGAUAAGGCCUAUCCCCACUAUGAAGGGUAAUCUGCUUUACUUAAAGUCAACUGAUUGCAAAUGUCACAGUAACAUCUGGACUAGUGGUUGACCUGACAAUAGGGCAUCAUAGCCUAGCCUAGUUGACACAGAAAAUUAACCAAUCACAUCUUGUGUAGCAACUUAGUGUUAAAACUUCAUAUCAGCUCAUGUUCCCUGAACUAGUGUCACUGAAAUUAGAGUUUCAGGGUAAAAUGCAUUGACGAAAUAUUGGAAUGAAUUUCCUGGAGUCUUUAAAUAAGAAUAUAUGUAAGAAGGGUUCAUUCAGCUCUAUCAUCAUGGAGCUCCAGUAAACUCCUCUAAGGAUAAUGCUCUGUAACAUGGUUUGGGAAAUGCAGAUAUAGACAAUGGCAGGCAACCAAAGUUUCAAGCAUUGUAUUUGCAUGUUAGAUUGUAUUUUAGAAAGGAAAUUUCAGUAAAAACGUAAAAGUUGGAUGGGGUGAUCGGCGAAGCUAAAAAUAGAGAUAUAACAAACUAUGGCAUUCAUGUAAGGAAGAGAUAAUAAAGCCCAAAAGAAGAACAAGAAUUAGUAAGAAUAAUUAUCAACAUUUUAAUAUUUAUCAAGGUAUUCCAAUCACACUAUUAAACAAAAUGAUGAUAUAAUAAGAAUGAGCUUAACUACACAGACUCCUUGACAUGAACAUUAUAUGUCAAAAUUUGAAAGCUCUGACCAGCCCUGUUGGGUACAGUAGAUGGUCCCAGCCAAGUUUUCUAAGCAAGAAUCUUGUGAGUUGGAAUCCUGACAUUUUCUCUUAGUCUACAGAAUUUCACAUUAGAAUCAUUGGCAACAAAGAAAAGGAAAGAAAAUUAAUUUUUACAUAUAAAUAUAUUUACUUGGUCAAAAGCAUUAUAUUUCACCUAGAUUAGUGCCAGGAAAUCUACUAAUUGAUAGAGCCAUAAAAAUGCCUAAGACAGACUCUCUCUGUCUACAACUUAUUCACUAUAAUGAUUAGCCAGAAUGUCUCACAACAAAAGUUAAACAUACAUAAGAAUAUCUUGGUGCAGAGGAAAGAAAAUGUCGUGGAGAAAAUAAAAACUGGAUUCAACUGGCUUUUGAAAAUAUGAGCAAGUUAUUUAUUUUCUCAAAUUUCGGUUUCUUCCCAUACAAAAUUACCAUCUAUGUGAAAGCACACAGAUCUAGAUCUGCCUCCUGAUUUAUACUUUAGCUUGUUCUCAUUGUUUUUAGUGAUCCUAAAAUAAUUUUUAGAAAGUAUGGGUAAACUGAAAAUCCAAUAACCAAAGAGAUGUUGCAUCUAGUGCCCUCCAAUUUACCUUUGGGAUUAAAAAGUCUAGAGGUUCUUCCCCAUUCUUUCAUUCAUCACAGUGUGAAUUAAUGCCAAGAGGAUAUACCAUUGUUAACAGCUAACUUGAAAGAAAAGCGUUGAAAAUCUGAUUAUCCACCAGUAGGUUUUCCAGAUGAUGUUUUUCUAUCUUUCUGGUAACAAACAACAUUUUCAUGGAAAUUAAAGGUGGCAUCAAAGCAGACGUCAAACUACUACAAUGCUCACAUUUUGUAUUAGCAAAUAACUGUCACAUUUCUUCUGAGCAAGCUUUCUUCUGUGAUACAAAACUGUUGUGUAAUAAAGAAUUAUUCUGGGCCGGGCGCGCUGGCUCAAGCCUGUAAUCCCAGCACUUUGGGAGGCCGAGAUGGGCGGAUCACAAGGUCAGGAGAUCGAGACCAUCCUGGCUACCCCGGUGAAACCCCGUCUCCACUAAAAAAUACAAAAAACUAGCCGGGCGCGGUGGCGGGCGCCUGUAGUCCCAGCUACUCGGGAGGCUGAGGCAGGAGAAUGGCGUGAACCCGGGAGGCGGAGCUUGCAGUGAGCUGAGGUCCGGCCACUGCACUCUAGCCUGGGCGACUCCGUCUCAAAACAAAACAAACAAACAAACAAAAAAGAAUUAUUCUGAAUCUAGUGGUAAAAGAUGUAUAGUAAAGAGUGUCAAAAUGGUUCGUUAGUCACCUUUUUCUCUUUUUUUAUUUUGGUGUUUGUUUGUUUGAGACAGGGUCUCACUCCGUGGUCCAGGCUGGAGUAUAGUGGCAUUAUCACAGCUUACUGCAGCCUCAGUCUCCCAGGCUCAGGUGAUCCUCCCACCUCAGCCUCUAAAGUAGCUGGUACUACAGAUGCACAUCACCAUGUCCAGAUAAUUUUUUAAAUGUUUUGUAGAGACAGAAAAGGCUACCAUGCCCAGCUAAUUUU